Molecule: non-coding RNA, 224 nt
Organism: Benincasa hispida (wax gourd)
Lineage: Eukaryota; Viridiplantae; Streptophyta; Magnoliopsida; Cucurbitales; Cucurbitaceae
Source: RefSeq, a predicted model, not a curated record
GGUAGCAAAACUGCAUGGAAUACUGAGACCAUUUCUACUUCGAAGAAUGAAAUCUGAUGUCGAGCUAAUGCUCCCUCGGAAGAAAGAAAUCAUAAUAUAUUGGUUAUGAUUGAAGGAAGUUCACUUUGGGAAAUUGAUAGUCUUCGACACCAUUAUUGUCCUCCUGUUUCAAGGUUAGUUUUAUGCCUAGUAUCCCCGUACAAUCAAGUGUGUGAAGUGUUCAA